CAUGCAAGUCGAACGAGAAAAGAAGCUUCGGCUUCUGAGUAAAGUGGCGAACGGGUGCGUAACACGUAAGUAAUCUACCCUAAACUCUGGAAUAACUUCCCGAAAGGGGAGCUAAGACUGGAUAGGGUCCUCGAGGUGUAAGCCGCGGGGGGAAAGCAGGCCUCUGUCACAAGCUUGCGGUUUAGGAUGAGCUUGCGUCCCAUUAGUUUGUUGGUGAGGUAACGGCUUACCAAGGCGAUGACGGAUAGGGGAUCUGAGAGGGUGGCCCCCCACACUGGGACUGAGACACGGCCCAGACUCCUGCGGGAGGCAGCAGUGAGGGAUAUUGCACAAUGGGCGGAAGCCUGAUGCAGCGACGCCGCGUGGGUGAAGAAGGUUUCCGGAUCGUAAAGCCCUUUUCUAUGUGACGAGGAAGGACGGUAGCAUAGGAAAAAGUGUCGGCUAACUACGUGCCAGCAGCCGCGGUAAAACGUAGGACACGAACGUUAUCCGGAGUUACUGGGCGUAAAGCGCGCGCAGGCGGUUGUAUAAGUUUUCUAUGAAAGUCGCUGGCUAAACUGGCGGAAUGUAGGAGAAACUGUACAACUAGAGAGAAAUAGAGGGAAGUAGAAUUCCGGGUGUAGUGGUGAAAUGCGUAGAUAUCCGGAGGAAUAUCAGAGGCGAAGGCGGCUUCCUGGAUUUCCACUGACGCUGAGGCGCGAAAGCGUGGGUAGCGAACGGGAUUAGAAACCCCGGUAGUCCACGCCGUAAACGAUGUACAUUAGGCGUUCGGUAUCCUGCGGGAUAUUGAGUGUCGGAGCAAACGCGAUAAAUGUACCGCCUGGGGAGUACGGUCGCAAGGCUAAAACUCAAAGGAAUUGACGGGGGCCCGCACAAGCAGCGGAGCGUGUGGUUUAAUUCGAUGCAACGCGAAGAACCUUACCUGGGUUUGACAGUGAGGUAGUACGGAAGCGAAAGCGGAAGGACCCGAGAGGGAGCCUUGCCAGGUGCUGCAUGGUUGUCGUCAGCUCGUGCCGUGAGGUGUUCGGUUAAGUCCGCAAACGAGCGCAACCCUCGGGGCUAGUUACAAGUGUCUAGCCUGACUGCCCGUGGCAAACGGGAGGAAGGUGGGGAUGACGUCAAAUCAGCAUGGCCUUGAUAUCCAGGGCGACACACACGCUACAAUGGUCGAUACAAUGGGUGGCGAAGUGGCGACAUGGAGCGAAUCCUGCAAAGUCGGUCACAGUUCGGAUUGCAGGCUGCAACUCGCCUGCAUGAAGUCGGAGUUGCUAGUAACCGCAAAUCAGCACGUUGCGGUGAAUACGUUCCCGGGCCUUGUACACACCGCCCGUCACGUCAUGGGAGUCGGUCGAGCCUGAAGUCGGGAAGCUAACCUGAGGGGGGC
This 1384-nucleotide ribosomal RNA is filed under the name uncultured Chloroflexus sp. Its description in RNAcentral is "16S ribosomal RNA". It matches the Rfam family "Bacterial small subunit ribosomal RNA". Lineage: Bacteria; Bacillati; Chloroflexota; Chloroflexia; Chloroflexales; Chloroflexaceae. The record is from RNAcentral.